RNAcentral lists this ribosomal RNA (626 nucleotides) under uncultured bacterium. RNAcentral describes it as "bacterial SSU rRNA". It matches the Rfam family "Bacterial small subunit ribosomal RNA", at positions 66 to 678 of the family's 1533-position model. The record is from RNAcentral.
GGGGCAGCGGUGGUGAAGGCUUGCCUUUACCAGCCGGCGACCGGCGCACGGGUGAGUAACACGUAUGCAACCUGCCUGCCACAGCCGGAUAAUCGGGAGAAAUUCCGUCUAAUACGGCAUAAUGCACCUAUGGGACAUCCUGUUGGUGCCAAAGGUUGAUUCCGGUGGCGGAUGGGCAUGCGUCGCAUUAGUUAGUUGGCGGUGUAACGGACCACCAAGACGACGAUGCGUAGGGGUUCUGAGAGGAAGGUCCCCCACACUGGUACUGAGACACGGACCAGACUCCUACGGGAGGCAGCAGUGAGGAAUAUUGGUCAAUGGGCGGGAGCCUGAACCAGCCAAGUCGCGUGAGGGAUGACGGCCCUAUGGGUUGUAAACCUCUUUUGCCGGGGAGCAAAGUGCCGCACGUGUGCGGUUUGGAGAGUACCCGGAGAAAAAGCAUCGGCUAACUCCGUGCCAGCAGCCGCGGUAAUACGGAGGAUGCGAGCGUUAUCCGGAUUUAUUGGGUUUAAAGGGUGCGUAGGCGGACGCUUAAGUCAGCGGUAAAAUUGCGGGGCUCAACCUGGGAGAGCCGUUGAAACUGGGUGCCUUGAGUGGGCGAGAAGUACGCAGAAUGCGUGGUGUAG